AUACGGAGGGUGCAAGCGUUAUCCGGAAUCAUUGGGUUUAAAGGGUCCGCAGGCGGUCAAUUAAGUCAGAGGUGAAAUCCCGUCGCUCAACGACGGAACUGCCUUUGAUACUGGUUGACUUGAGUUAUACGGAAGUAGAUAGAAUGUGUAGUGUAGCGGUGAAAUGCAUAGAUAUUACACAGAAUACCGAUUGCGAAGGCAGUCUACUACGUAUAUACUGACGCUCAUGGACGAAAGCGUGGGGAGCGAACAGGAUUAGAAACCCCAGUAGUUCC
RNAcentral lists this ribosomal RNA (275 nucleotides) under uncultured bacterium. Its description in RNAcentral is "partial 16S ribosomal RNA". It matches the Rfam family "Bacterial small subunit ribosomal RNA", at positions 523 to 796 of the family's 1533-position model. The record is from RNAcentral.